This 1525-nucleotide ribosomal RNA is filed under the name metagenome. RNAcentral's name for it is "bacterial SSU rRNA". It matches the Rfam family "Bacterial small subunit ribosomal RNA". The record is from RNAcentral.
AGAGUUUGAUUCUGGCUCAGCUCUAACGCUGGCGGUACACUUAACACAUGCAAGUCGCAUGCGAAAGUUGGGGGUAACUCUAACGAUUAGCAUGGCGCACGGGUGAGUAACACGUAGGUAACCUGCCCUGAAGAUCGGGAUAACCCUUGGAAACGAGGGAUAAUACUGGAUAACAACAAGAGUCAAAAGACUUUUGUUCAAAGAUGGCCUCUACUUGUAAGCUAUCACUUUGGGAUGGGCCUGCGGCUUAUCAGCUUGUUGGUGGGGUAAAAGCCUACCAAGGCUAAGACGGGUAGCUGGUCUGAGAGGAUGAUCAGUCACACUGGAACUGAGACACGGUCCAGACUCCUACGGGAGGCAGCAGUGGGGAAUUUUGCGCAAUGGGCGAAAGCCUGACGCAGUGAUACCGCGUGGGGGAAGAAGGCCUUCGGGUUGUAAACCCUUGUUAGGAGGGAAGAAAGUGCAUAGUUCAAAUAGGGCUACGUAUUGACGGUACCUCCAGAGGAAGCGACGGCUAACUCUGUGCCAGCAGCCGCGGUAAUACAGAGGUCGUAAGCGUUGAGCGGAAUUAUUGGGCUUAAAGAGGGAGUAGACGGCCAGAUAAGUAAAGUGUGAAAUCGUUUGGCUCAACCAAACAAUUGCACUUUAAACUAUUUGGCUAGAGGAAAAGAGAGGGCAUCGGAAUUCUUGGAGUAGGGGUAAAAUCCGUAGAUACCAAGAGGAAGGCCAAAAGCGAAAGCAGAUGCCUGGCUUUUUCUGACGUUCAGGCCCGAAAGCGUGGGUAGCAAACAGGAUUAGAUACCCUGGUAGUCCACGCCGUAAACGAUGGAUAUUCGAGGUCGGAAGGGUCAACUUUUCGGUCUCUCAGGGAAACCGGUAAAUAUCCCGCCUGGGGAGUACGGUCGCAAGAUUAAAACUCAAAGAAAUUGACGGGGACCUGCACAAGCGGUGGAGCACGUGGUUCAAUUCGAAUUCAAAGCGAAGAACCUUACCUGGGCUUGACAUGUUUGUGAAAGCUCUAAGAAAUUAGAGCCUUUUAGCCUUACGGUUAAACACUUGCACAGGUGCUGCAUGGCUGUCGUCAGCUCGUGUCGUAGGAUGUAGAGUUAAGUCUCGUAACGAGCGCAACCCUCGCCCUUAGUUGCCAUCAUUUAGUUGGGCACUCUAGGGGGACCGCCGGCGAUAAGCCGGAGGAAGGUGAGGAUGACGUCAAGUCCUCAUGGCCCUUAUGUCCAGGGCUACACACGUGCUACAAUGGAUACAACAAAGGGACGCUAACCCGUAAGGGGGCGCAAAUCCCAAAAAAAGUAUUCUCAAUUCGGAUCGAGGUCUGCAAUUCGACCUCGUGAAGCUGGAAUCGCUAGUAAUCGCGGAUCAGAACGCCGCGGUGAAUACGUUCCCAGGUCUUGUACACACCGCCCGUCACACCACGAAAGGGGUUAAGAUCAGAAGUAGUGCGGACUAACCUUCGGGAAGUCGGCUACCAAGGUUUUGGCGCUGAUUGGGGUGAAGUCGGAACAAGGUA